CCUACGGGAGGCUGCAGUGGGGAAUAUUGCACAAUGGGGGCAACCCUGACGCAGCAACGCCGCGUGAGUGAAGAAGGCUUUCGGUUUGUAAAGUUCUUUUAGCAGGGAAGAAAAUAGACGGUACCCGAAUAAGAAGCCCCGGCUAACUACGUGCCAGCAGCCGCGGUAAUACGUAGGGGGCAAGCGUUAUCCGGAUUUACUGGGUGUAAAGGGGGCGUAGACGGGCAGGCAAGUCAGAAGUGAAAGCCCGUGGCUUAACCACCGAACUGCUUUUGAAACUGUUUGGCUAGAGUGCUGGAGAGGCAGGUGGAAUUCCUAGUGUAGCGGUGAAAUGCGUAGAUAUUAGGAGGAACACCAGUGGCGAAGGCGGCCUGCUGGACAAUAACUGACGUUGAGGCGCGAAAGCGUGGGGAGCAAACAGGAUUAGAUACCCCUGUAGUC
RNAcentral lists this ribosomal RNA (441 nucleotides) under uncultured bacterium. RNAcentral describes it as "partial 16S ribosomal RNA". It matches the Rfam family "Bacterial small subunit ribosomal RNA", at positions 338 to 795 of the family's 1533-position model. The record is from RNAcentral.